AUGAACGCUGGCGGCGUGCCUAAUCCCUGCCAGUCGAGCGAACGGACGAGAAGCUUGCUUCUCUGAUGUUAGCGGCGGACGGGUGAGUAACACGUGGAUAACCUACCUAUAAGACUGGGAUAACUUCGGGAAACCGGAGCUAAUACCGGAUAAUAUUUUGAACCGCAUGGUUCAAAAGUAAAAGACGGUCUUGCUGUCACUUAUAGAUGGAUCCGCGCUGCAUUAGCUAGUUGGUAAGGUAACGGCUUACCAAGGCAACGAUGCAUAGCCGACCUGAGAGGGUGAUCGGCCACACUGGAACUGAGACACGGUCCAGACUCCUACGGGAGGCAGCAGUAGGGAAUCUUCCGCAAUGGGCGAAAGCCUGACGGAGCAACGCCGCGUGAGUGAUGAAGGUCUUCGGAUCGUAAAACUCUGUUAUUAGGGAAGAACAUAUGUGUAAGUAACUGUGCACAUCUUGACGGUACCUAAUCAGAAAGCCACGGCUAACUACGUG
RNAcentral lists this ribosomal RNA (496 nucleotides) under uncultured bacterium. RNAcentral describes it as "partial 16S ribosomal RNA". It matches the Rfam family "Bacterial small subunit ribosomal RNA", at positions 29 to 507 of the family's 1533-position model. The record is from RNAcentral.